This 440-nucleotide ribosomal RNA is filed under the name uncultured bacterium. RNAcentral describes it as "partial 16S ribosomal RNA". It matches the Rfam family "Bacterial small subunit ribosomal RNA", at positions 338 to 795 of the family's 1533-position model. The record is from RNAcentral.
CCUACGGGGUGCAGCAGUGGGGAAUAUUGCACAAUGGGGGAAACCCUGAUGCAGCGACGCCGCGUGAGUGAAGAAGUAUUUCGGUAUGUAAAGCUCUGUCAGCAGGGAAGAAAAGGACGGUACCUGAACAGAAAGCCCCAGCUAACUACGUGCCAGCAGCCACGGUAAUACGUAGGGGGCCAGCGUUAUACGGAUUGACGGGGGGUAAAGGGAGCGUAGACGGCAGGGCAAGUCUGGAGUGAAAGGCGGGGGCUCAACCCCCGGACUGCGCUGGAAACUGCCAGGCUGGAGGGCAGGAGAGGUAAGUGGAAUUCCUAGUGUAGCGGUGAAAUGCGUAGAUAUUAGGAAGAACACCAGUGGCGAAGGCGGCUUACUGGACUGUAACUGACGUUGAAGCUCGAAAGCGUGGGGAGCAAACAGGAUUAGAUACCCCAGUAGUC